This 162-nucleotide non-coding RNA is filed under the name Geminigera cryophila. Lineage: Eukaryota; Cryptophyceae; Pyrenomonadales; Geminigeraceae. The record is from RNAcentral.
UUUCUUUCUUUCUUUUUUUUUCCAUUUUUCUUUGCACCCCCUCUGAGCACACGUCUAGACAUCUAUAAAUACAGUAAGCCACUCUGUCUUUUUCCCUGUAGUGUGCGUCCAGAUGAUAGAAAGCACCAAACAAAAAGCAAUUUCUUUCUUUCUUCCUUUCUU